CCUACGGGAGGCAGCAGUAAGGAAUAUUGGUCAAUGGACGAAAGUCUGAACCAGCCAUGCCGCGUGAAGGAUGAAGGCCCUCUGGGUUGUAAACUUCUUUUAUCUGGGACGAAAAAAGCUCAUUCUUGAGCACUUGACGGUACCAGAGGAAUAAGCACCGGCUAACUCCGUGCCAGCAGCCGCGGUAAUACGGAGGGUGCAAGCGUUAUCCGGAUUCACUGGGUUUAAAGGGUGCGUAGGUGGGUCUGUAAGUCAGUGGUGAAAUCUCCGAGCUUAACUCGGAAACUGCCAUUGAUACUAUAGGUCUUGAAUCAUCUGGAGGUAAGCGGAAUAUGUCAUGUAGCGGUGAAAUGCUUAGAUAUGACAUAGAACACCAAUUGCGAAGGCAGCUUACUACGGGUGUAUUGACACUGAGGCACGAAAGCGUGGGGAUCAAACAGGAUUAGAUACCCUGGUAGUCCACGCCCUAAACGAUGGAUACUCGACAUCAGCGAUACACUGUUGGUGUCUGNGNGAAGAGAUAAGUAUCCUAACCGUGGAGUUACGACGCGAGUUAGUAACGACGAAGAAGUAGAGGCGNGAGAGNGCGACGGACGACGACGAGGGAGGAGG
This 612-nucleotide ribosomal RNA is filed under the name uncultured bacterium. RNAcentral describes it as "bacterial SSU rRNA". It matches the Rfam family "Bacterial small subunit ribosomal RNA", at positions 338 to 954 of the family's 1533-position model. The record is from RNAcentral.